RNAcentral lists this ribosomal RNA (496 nucleotides) under uncultured bacterium. RNAcentral's name for it is "partial 16S ribosomal RNA". It matches the Rfam family "Bacterial small subunit ribosomal RNA", at positions 28 to 506 of the family's 1533-position model. The record is from RNAcentral.
GAUGAACGCUGGCGGCGUGCCUAAUACAUGCAAGUCGAGCGAACAGACGAGGAGCUUGCUCCUCUGACGUUAGCGGCGGACCGGUGAGUAACACGUGGAUAACCUACCUAUAAGACUGGGAUAACUUCGGGAAACCGGAGCUAAUACCGGAUAAUAUAUUGAACCGCAUGGUUCAAUAGUGAAAGACGGUUUUGCUGUCACUUAUAGAUGGAUCCGCGCCGCAUUAGCUAGUUGGUAAGGUAACGGCUUACCAAGGCGACGAUGCGUAGCCGACCUGAGAGGGUGAUCGGCCACACUGGAACUGAGACACGGUCCAGACUCCUACGGGAGGCAGCAGUAGGGAAUCUUCCGCAAUGGGCGAAAGCCUGACGGAGCAACGCCGCGUGAGUGAUGAAGGUCUUCGGAUCGUAAAACUCUGUUAUUAGGGAAGAACAAAUGUGUAAGUAACUAUGCACGUCUUGACGGUACCUAAUCAGAAAGCCACGGCUAACUACGU